UCAAGGUCUUCAUCAACCCUUUAAUAUAUUGUGUUAGGUAAAGGCUGCUUCUAAUACUAGUUUGCAACAAAAAGGUGGUUGAUCUUCAAAUCAUAUUACUUUCUCAUCAUGGCUGAAAUUCUUUACGGGCUUGCUGCUGAAAUCUUGAAAAACUUGGCUUCUCUUGCAGCUCAAGAAGUAGGAUCAAUUCGAGGACUAAGCGAUGAGCUUAGCAACCUUUCUGGUACAGUUUCUUCAAUCCAAUCUGUACUAAUUGACGCGGAGGAGCAGCAGGGGAAUAGCCAUGAGGUGAGGGAUUGGUUAAGGAAACUUAAAACAGUUUUCUUUGAGGCUGAUGAUCUCUUGGAUGACUUUGCAACUGAAGUCACGCAUCGAAAAUUGGUGAGUAAGGUAAGCAUCUUCUUCUCAAAGUCAAAUCCUGUGCUUUAUAAUGUUAAGAUAAGUAAGCGUCUCAAGGUCAUUCGAGAAAAUUUAGAUGUAAUUGCAAAAGAUAAGGCCUACUUAAACCUUGUUGAAAGGAGGCAACCAUUGCUUCUUGAGUCUAAUUUGGAUAGAGAGACUUAUUCAUUUGUGCCUGAUGGAGAAGUCAUUGGAAGGAAUGAUAAUAAAAGGGAAAUUCUAGAUUUUCUUAUGGAUUCUAAGGUUAAUGAGAAUGUUGCGGUAAUAUCAGUUGUUGGCCUUGGUGGACUAGGAAAGACCACUCUCACGCAAUCGGUGUAUAAUAGUGAAAAUGGUUCGGAAAAGAUUUGAUAAAAGAUUGUGGGUUUGUGUUUCAGAUGUUUUUGAAGUGAAAGUGAUUGCAGAAAAAAUCGUAGAAUCUGCAGGAGGGGAGAAGGCUAAUUACCUUCAACUAGAUGCUGUGCAAAACCAGCUUCGAGAAAUGCUUGAUGGGAAGAAAUAUCUACUGGUGCUCGAUGAUGUGUGGAACGAAGAUGCCUUGAAAUGGUCGAGAUUGAAAAAUAUGUUGAUCGGUGGAGCCAAGGGAAGUAAGAUUUUAGUAACUACUCGUUCAAAUGUAGUUGCGGAAGUUUCAGGUAGUGUUCGCCAACAUAAAUUAGGGGACCUCUCAAAAGAAGAGGCAUGGGCAUUGCUUGAAAAAAUGGCGUUCGAAUGUACCAAAGAGAGUGAAAAUUCGAGUUUGGUGGAAAUAGGAAAGGAAAUUGUGAAAAAGUGUGGAGGAGUUCCUCUUGCAAUAAGGUCAAUAGGAAGCCUACUACGCCUAAAAAGAACGGAGGAUGAGUGGAUAUAUUUCAAGAAUCAAGAUUUGUCAAGUAUCACACGAGGAGAUGACAGUGUCAUGGCCAUUUUGAUAUUGAGCUAUAAUCACCUUCCUCACCAUUUAAAGAUAUGCUUCGCAUACUGUUCCCUCUUUCCAAAAGAUUUCCGAAUUGACAGAGUUGAUUUGAUUGAUAUGUGGAUCGCUCAAGGCUUUAUUCAAUCAACUACUAGCAACAGAGACAGUGUGGAAGACGAUGCAAAUUCAUAUUUCGUGGAUUUGUUAAGAAGGUCAUUCUUUCAAGAAACUGAAGAGCAUCAUUUUUAUCCGCAUUGUUACAAAAUGCACGAUCUUAUUCAUGAUCUCGCAAAAGAAGUUGCAGAUAGAGAGCUCUUCUGUAUCACUAAAACAGAUGAUACAGAGAUUGUCCCAGAACAAGCGCUCCAUGCUUCUUGUUUAUUCCAGAUUAAUGAUUCAUUGGAAUUUCCCGAACCCUUCUAUGCGAAGCAUAUGAAGUUGCGGACAUUUAUUUACCUAAAUGGGUCUCCAUACAGUGUUAUGAGCAAUUCAACGUUAGAGAGAAUGCUUGCAAGUUUUAAAUGUUUACGCGUUCUGCAUCUAUGUCACCUGCAGAUAAAAAUUCUGCCUCAAUCUUUAGGUGGACUGAAGCAUCUAAGAUAUCUUGCUAUUUCCUCUAGAAGCAUUGUUACUUUACCAAAUUCCAUCACGAAGUUGCAUAAUCUACAAGUUUUAAAGUUGGUUAAUUGCAUUAAACUCAAAAAAUUGCCAAGAGAUAUUUGGAGAUUGGUGAGCCUUCGAAGUUUGAUAUGUUCGUGGUGCCAAUCAUUAACCCAUAUUCCACCAGGACUGUGGCAGUUGGCAAGUGUAACGCAUUUGGAUUUUGAUGGUUGCGGUUCAUUGGAAGAUAUGCCACCUGGAAUUGGCCAAUUGACAUCUCUACGGACAUUGAAAAGUUUUGUUGUAGGCAAAGAAAGUUGUAUAUCUGGUUUGGCAAGUGACAAGUUGAAUGAAUUUAAGGGCCUUGCUGAUCUCAGAAAUAGAUUACACAUUAAGUUCAUGGGACGAGCCCGUGCAAUUGGAGAAAGAAUACCUACCGAUGUAGUGAAAAGAAUGAAACAUCUUCGGAAGCUGUUUGUAGAGUUCGAAUAUGGAAAUCAAGAGGAUGAUACUGGAGCUGAUCUGAUAAUGUUGGAGGCCCUGCAGCCGCACCAAAACAUUGAAAGCUUGCAAAUAGAAAAUUAUAGUGGAUCAAGCUUCCCAAGUUGGUUGAUGGUUGAUAAUCUUGGCUUUUUGCUACCCAAGCUUGUUUAUCUAAACAUCAGAGAUUGUCAUAAAUGCCAAAAGCUCCCACCAUUAUGGCGACUGCCUUCUCUCGAAGAUCUUGUACUCCAUUGGAAUCUUGACGUCGUGGAGAGCAUAGAAGGUGGUGAUGAUAAAUUCAUGCUACCAUCAAAUUCUCCUACAUAUGAGUGCUACUUCCCUUCCCUAAAACAACUUUAUUUGGGGAUAAUAAGUGAGAAGAUAUUGAAACAAAUUCUUUGCCCACCUCCUCAUCCUUCUCCUCUUUUCAAUGUAAAUAGCUUGAGUCUAUUUUCUAUCGAGGGCCUAGCAACUAUGCCAGAGGAUUCGUUCAAGUGUCUCACUUCGCUCCAAUCCUUGUUUAUUAGUAACUGCAGAAAUCUGGUCUCUCUAUCCACAUGUCUAACUCAUCUCACUUCCCUCGAGUUUUUAUGUAUUGAGAAUUGCCCUCUGCUUGAUUUGUCGAACAAAGAAGCAAUGCAAUUUGAUGUCCCGGGGAAUUUAUUGACUUUCAGUGUUAACAUGCUUGACAAGCUAAUGUCGCUUCCAGUUUGGCUCCAACAUUUCUCGGGUACUUUGAAGUUUAUAGUGAUUCGGGGAUGUCCUAACUUCACAACAAUACCAGAAUGGAUAGGCGACCUCAUUGCCCUUAAUCGAUUGGAAAUUGAUGUUUCACCUAUGUUGACAUCCUUUCCAGAAGGCCUGCGAUCUCUCUCAGCAUUGGAAAUGCUAAUUGUUACAAGAUGUUCAUCAAGUCUGAAGCAAAGAUGCGAGAAGGAAGGAGGAGAGGACUGGCCUAAGAUUGCUCACAUCCCAAGAGUCGACAUAAAAGAAGGGAUUUGAUUACAGGCUGCAAGUUGAGGCUUGAAGCAAUGUCUGGAUAGAAGGAUGAGUAAGCAUGAGUUUGCCAGUGGCGCCAAAAGGCGGGUGAAGGUCAAGGUGCUGAACACCAGUUUCUCAAAAGGUUCGAACCCAAAAAAUGAAUUGGUUGGUGAAAAGUGAAAACCAUGAGGUUAAGGAAGGAAGCUGGAGUUUCCACUCUGUUCUUGGGAGAUUUUAGUCACUUAAGAAGUUGCCAAUUCUGCAGAAUUACUAUGAAGCUUCAAUUUCUAUGAUUCUUGACUGUGUUAGCCCUUGAAGUAAAGUGGACAGUGGACACUGCUUUAUCGUCUAUCUGUUUGUUUUUACUUCCCUGAUGAGUUGAGACUUGAGAUAAUUUUCAUUUUGUUGGAUAAAAAUUUCACUUUUGUUGUUACUGCUA
This is an RNA transcript of Nicotiana tabacum (common tobacco), 3797 nucleotides long. It is a transcript of the gene named putative disease resistance protein RGA3, with no coding region annotated. The record is from RefSeq and is a predicted model, not a curated record. Lineage: Eukaryota; Viridiplantae; Streptophyta; Magnoliopsida; Solanales; Solanaceae.